Molecule: long non-coding RNA, 587 nt
Organism: Cryptomeria japonica (Japanese cedar)
Lineage: Eukaryota; Viridiplantae; Streptophyta; Pinopsida; Cupressales; Cupressaceae
Exons: 2
Source: RefSeq, a predicted model, not a curated record
UUAUCCCCCAACGACUUAUUCUUCUGUCAUACUUGUUUUCAUUGAUUAUUUGGACAGAAAAUUACUGAGGAAUAAAUACAGUGAAGAAACUGUAUUUUAUCCCCAAUUAUAUUUGAUCCUGACACAGCAUAAGAGAAAAGAUGCCCUUAAUGUGCCUCAAAUUGUGCCUCAAAUUAUAGUUUAGUUUUGCAAUAGCAAUGCCCUUAAUGUGCCUCAAAUUGUGGGCACUUGAGCGCUCUCAGCAUAAAAUGGCGGAGGUAUAAGAGAACGGAGGGUCUAAAUGCAGAGGUUUAGUGGAUACGGAGACAUUUAUGGGGAUAAUUUGAAAAGAAAAAGCGUUUGGAUUCCAGAUUUGAAGGUUUCUGACAGGAAAUUUGUGCAAAUUUAGGCAAUCUUUAAAAUAAUGCACAAGAACUUCUUGGAAAGUAAAAUAUCUUGAAUUCAUAAGUACCGUACCUGAAAGAGACUAUGUUUUGGCCACAGAAUUGGGGAAAUCCAGAUUUGAUGUUGUAAUUUUAUAUACAGGAAAUAUACUGAUGAUCACACAUUCUCAUGCAAUCCAACUAGUGGCUAUUGAUUUUUGUUAA